RNAcentral lists this long non-coding RNA (912 nucleotides) under Homo sapiens (human). Its description in RNAcentral is "HSALNT0142973". Lineage: Eukaryota; Metazoa; Chordata; Mammalia; Primates; Hominidae. The record is from RNAcentral.
AGACACUUUACGGAGCGAAAUAUCUGCACCGCCCCCACCCCCAACUCCUGUUCUACCUCCCUUCCCUGGGCAGGUCUGGGUGAUGGGGCCACCUUGGCGUGGGGAUCGGGCCUGGUACCCUGUACCGGCUAGUGGCGCGGUGUGUCCCUAGGCUAAUUUGGAAAAAGCCGAAACCUGCGGGGCAGCGGCGGCAACCCCUGGGCACAGCGUCCCCUGGCGGCCGCCGGGCUCAGCCAGGUCUGGGAGCCGGGAGGUCGCCGGGAGAGUGGGCCCAAGGCAGGAUCAGCCCAGCCCCUCCAGGUAGCCUCCUCCUCCUCCUGCUCCUCCUGCUCCCCUGCCCCCUUUCUCUCUCUCUUUCUCCUUCUCCUCCCCAACUUCCCUUCUUCCUCUCCCUCCCCUCCUCUCCUCCCUUUUCUUCUAAUUCCUACAGUUCGCCUUUUAAAUUAAGGUACGUCAACAUUUAAAUAGCUUAUAGAUUAACAUAGUUCAAGUAUGUUUUUAAAAAACCUGUUCAAAGGUAUACAGUGAAAAGUCUUCAUCCCAGAAAAACUGUCAGCCAAAUGUUAAAAUUGAGGGGCAUUCUACAAAAUACCCGACUAGUACUCCUCAGAACUGUCAAAGUCAUCAAAACCCAGGAAGAAUCUGAGAAAUUGUCACAGCCAAGAAGAGCCUAAGGAGACAGGACCAUUAAAUGUAAUGUGUCAUGGAUGAGGUCCUGGAGCAGAAAAACGGACACCUGGUGAAAACUAAGGAAAUCUGAGUCAAGAUGGACUUUAGUUAAAGCAUCAACACCAGUUCAUUACUUGUAACAAACAACCCAUACCAACGACCAAUGCUAAUAAUAUGUGAACCUGGGUGCAGGCUUUAUGGAGACUCUUAUUAUCUUUGCAAUUUUUCUGUGACGCUAAAACU